AAUCAACGCUGGCGGCGUGCUUCAGACAUGCAAGUCGAACGCGAAAGUUUCCUUCGGGAAGCGAGUAGAGUGGCGCACGGGUGAGUAACACGUAAGUAAUCUACCUUUGGGUUGGGGAAUAACUCAGGGAAACUUGAGCUAAUACCGCAUAAUGCAGCGGCUCCUUAUGGAGACAGUUGUUAAAGAAUUUAUUCGCCUAA
This 200-nucleotide ribosomal RNA is filed under the name uncultured bacterium. RNAcentral's name for it is "partial 16S ribosomal RNA". It matches the Rfam family "Bacterial small subunit ribosomal RNA", at positions 32 to 222 of the family's 1533-position model. The record is from RNAcentral.